GAUUAAGUUAUUAAGGGCGCACGGUGGAUGCCUUGGCACUAGAAGCCGAUGAAGGACGUUACUAACGACGAUAUGCUUUGGGGAGCUGUAAGUAAGCUUUGAUCCAGAGAUUUCCGAAUGGGGAAACCCAGCAUGAGUUAUGUCAUGUUAUCGAUAUGUGAAUACAUAGCAUAUCAGAAGGCACACCCGGAGAACUGAAACAUCUUAGUACCCGGAGGAAGAGAAAGAAAAUUCGAUUCCCUUAGUAGCGGCGAGCGAAACGGGAAGAGCCCAAACCAACAAGCUUGCUUGUUGGGGUUGUAGGACACUCUAUACGGAGUUACAAAGGACGACAUUAGACGAAUCAUCUGGAAAGAUGAAUCAAAGAAGGUAAUAAUCCUGUAGUCGAAAAUGUUGUCUCUCUUGAGUGGAUCCUGAGUACGACGGAGCACGUGAAAUUCCGUCGGAAUCUGGGAGGACCAUCUCCUAAGGCUAAAUACUCUCUAGUGACCGAUAGUGAACCAGUACCGUGAGGGAAAGGUGAAAAGCACCCCGGAAGGGGAGUGAAAUAGAACCUGAAACCGUGUGCUUACAAGUAGUCAGAGCCCGUUAAUGGGUGAUGGCGUGCCUUUUGUAGAAUGAACCGGCGAGUUACGAUUUGAUGCAAGGUUAAGCAGUAAAUGUGGAGCCGUAGCGAAAGCGAGUCUGAAUAGGGCGUUUAGUAUUUGGUCGUAGACCCGAAACCAGGUGAUCUACCCUUGGUCAGGUUGAAGUUCAGGUAACACUGAAUGGAGGACCGAACCGACUUACGUUGAAAAGUGAGCGGAUGAACUGAGGGUAGCGGAGAAAUUCCAAUCGAACCUGGAGAUAGCUGGUUCUCUCCGAAAUAGCUUUAGGGCUAGCCUCAAGUGAUGAUUAUUGGAGGUAGAGCACUGUUUGGACGAGGGGCCCCUCUCGGGUUACCGAAUUCAGACAAACUCCGAAUGCCAAUUAAUUUAACUUGGGAGUCAGAACAUGGGUGAUAAGGUCCGUGUUCGAAAGGGAAACAGCCCAGACCACCAGCUAAGGUCCCAAAAUAUAUGUUAAGUGGAAAAGGAUGUGGCGUUGCCCAGACAACUAGGAUGUUGGCUUAGAAGCAGCCAUCAUUUAAAGAGUGCGUAAUAGCUCACUAGUCGAGUGACACUGCGCCGAAAAUGUACCGGGGCUAAACAUAUUACCGAAGCUGUGGAUUGUCCUUUGGACAAUGGUAGGAGAGCGUUCUAAGGGCGUUGAAGCAUGAUCGUAAGGACAUGUGGAGCGCUUAGAAGUGAGAAUGCCGGUGUGAGUAGCGAAAGACGGGUGAGAAUCCCGUCCACCGAUUGACUAAGGUUUCCAGAGGAAGGCUCGUCCGCUCUGGGUUAGUCGGGUCCUAAGCUGAGGCCGACAGGCGUAGGCGAUGGAUAACAGGUUGAUAUUCCUGUACCACCUAUAAUCGUUUUAAUCGAUGGGGGGACGCAGUAGGAUAGGCGAAGCGUGCGAUUGGAUUGCACGUCUAAGCAGUAAGGCUGAGUAUUAGGCAAAUCCGGUACUCGUUAAGGCUGAGCUGUGAUGGGGAGAAGACAUUGUGUCUUCGAGUCGUUGAUUUCACACUGCCGAGAAAAGCCUCUAGAUAGAAAAUAGGUGCCCGUACCGCAAACCGACACAGGUAGUCAAGAUGAGAAUUCUAAGGUGAGCGAGCGAACUCUCGUUAAGGAACUCGGCAAAAUGACCCCGUAACUUCGGGAGAAGGGGUGCUCUUUAGGGUUAACGCCCAGAAGAGCCGCAGUGAAUAGGCCCAAGCGACUGUUUAUCAAAAACACAGGUCUCUGCUAAACCGUAAGGUGAUGUAUAGGGGCUGACGCCUGCCCGGUGCUGGAAGGUUAAGAGGAGUGGUUAGCUUCUGCGAAGCUACGAAUCGAAGCCCCAGUAAACGGCGGCCGUAACUAUAACGGUCCUAAGGUAGCGA
Molecule: ribosomal RNA, 1963 nt
Filed under: Staphylococcus aureus
Lineage: Bacteria; Bacillati; Bacillota; Bacilli; Caryophanales; Staphylococcaceae
Description: partial 23S ribosomal RNA
Rfam family: Bacterial large subunit ribosomal RNA
Source: RNAcentral